Long non-coding RNA from Canis lupus familiaris (dog), 763 nucleotides. RefSeq lists it as uncharacterized. The record is from RefSeq and is a predicted model, not a curated record. The transcript is spliced from 4 exons. Lineage: Eukaryota; Metazoa; Chordata; Mammalia; Carnivora; Canidae.
UACUUCAGCCAAAGGCUAUGGGUUGAAGCAAUCACAAGCUGGUCUGACUUUAGGGGAAAAAACACAGUAUUUAUAGCCAUUAACCAUGUAUCUUCUUCUUCAAGGGAAGACCAGUUGUCAGCAGUAGACUCAGGAUUUGAACACAGUUUGUUAAUGUUACAUAUGCAUUUUUUCUCAUCUUCCUUGUCAUUAUACUCUUUUUGUGAGAAAGGAUCAAAGUGUAAGCGUUGUCUGCUCUCAAAGUUGAUGUAGCCAUCUAUGAGAUUACUUUGGACUUCAGAAGAAAAAAUGGAAGAAGAAAAAGUUCAGGGAAAUGGACAAUAGAGCAAUCUUAAAGUUUCAAGUGUUUCAGGAUUGAUACUGCCAAAUGCGAAGAUAUUUGAAUGAAAAUUGUCUACUAGGAUACCAGGCUAGAACUUCAAUUUAAAGAAUAAAAUACUAUGGAAACUGAGACACAGAAGAAGUUAAAUGAUCAAGUAUAGCACCACAUGAAUAAUAACUGACUAGAGCCUAAGAACAAACCAAGCGAUAAGGAAGAUAACUGACCUAAGACAUAGGUGGAAAACAAAAAUAACUGGAGUGCCCUCAAGAUGAUGCAGUCUCCCAGAAAUGAGACAAACCUGAAUGUACAUUUGGAAUAGAUUCAUACCCAUUAUUUUGACAUAAGUAAAAGUUUAGGAAAAGGUGUUCUUUUUUAAAAAAUAUUUUAUUCAUUUAUUCAUGAAAGACACAGAGAGAGAGGGAGGCAGAGACAUAGGGAGAG